GCUGGGCGUGGUGGCGCACGCCUGUAGUCCCAGCUACUCAGGAGGCUGAGGUAGGAGAAUCACUUGAACCCAGGAGGUGGAGGUUGCAGUGAGCCGAGACUGAGCCACUGUACUCCAGCCUGGGUGACAAAGCGAGACUCUAUCUCAA
This is an unclassified non-coding RNA of Pongo abelii (Sumatran orangutan), 148 nucleotides long. It matches the Rfam family "Metazoan signal recognition particle RNA". From Rfam's summary of the family: The signal recognition particle (SRP) is a universally conserved ribonucleoprotein. It is involved in the co-translational targeting of proteins to membranes. Lineage: Eukaryota; Metazoa; Chordata; Mammalia; Primates; Hominidae. The record is from Ensembl.